CAGUGUUACAUCUCUUUUAGAAUUUGUCUAGCAGCUUUUCCAG
Nomascus leucogenys (northern white-cheeked gibbon) is the source of this 43-nucleotide small nuclear RNA. Its record names the gene U7. It matches the Rfam family "U7 small nuclear RNA". From Rfam's summary of the family: Animal histone pre-mRNAs are spliced by a different mechanism than nuclear pre-mRNAs and self-splicing introns. This processing involves the U7 snRNP, which contains only one RNA species: U7. Lineage: Eukaryota; Metazoa; Chordata; Mammalia; Primates; Hylobatidae. The record is from Ensembl.